UACGUAGGUGGCAAGCGUUGUCCGGAAUUACUGGGCGUAAAGGGCGUGUAGGCGGCAUCUUAAGUCAGAUGUGAAAACCCGGGGCUUAACUUCGGGAGUGCAUUUGAAACUGGGAAGCUAGAGUGUCGGAGAGGAAAGCGGAAUUCCUAGUGUAGCGGUGAAAUGCGUAGAUAUUAGGAGGAACACCAGUGGCGAAGGCGGCUUUCUGGACGAUAACUGACGCUGAGGCGCGAAAGCGUGGGGAGCAAACAGG
RNAcentral lists this ribosomal RNA (253 nucleotides) under uncultured bacterium. Its description in RNAcentral is "partial 16S ribosomal RNA". It matches the Rfam family "Bacterial small subunit ribosomal RNA", at positions 524 to 776 of the family's 1533-position model. The record is from RNAcentral.